GAUGAAGAACGUAGCGAAAUGCGAUAAGUAAUGUGAAUUGCAGAAUUCAGUGAACCAUCGAAUCUUUGAACGCACAUUGCGCCCGGCAGUAAUCUGCCGGGCAUGCCUGUCCGAGCGUCAUUUCUGCCCUCGAGCGAGUCCAGCAUCUAGGUGCUGGGCCCGCCCGGCGUUGGGGCACUACGGGAAGCCCUGUGCUGUCCCCCGUAGGCCCCGAAAUGAAGUGGCGGUCCUGCCGCGCCCCCUGCGUAGUAUAACAGCUCGCUUCGGGACCCGGUGGAGGCCUGCCGUCAAACCUUACUCUCUAAGUUUGACCUCGGAUCAGGUAGGGUUACCCGCUGAACUUAAGCAUAUCAAUAAGCGGAGGA
This 365-nucleotide unclassified non-coding RNA is filed under the name soil metagenome. RNAcentral describes it as "partial contains 5.8S ribosomal RNA, internal transcribed spacer 2, and large subunit ribosomal RNA". The stretch from base 1 to 120 matches the Rfam family "5.8S ribosomal RNA", at positions 35 to 154 of the family's 154-position model. The record is from RNAcentral.